Non-coding RNA from Microcebus murinus (gray mouse lemur), 3171 nucleotides. The record is from RefSeq and is a predicted model, not a curated record. NCBI's taxonomy places the organism in Eukaryota, Metazoa, Chordata, Mammalia, Primates, Cheirogaleidae.
UUUUUCAAUUGCUAAUAUGCAGCAUUGGUUUGCCUGUGAAGAAACUGUUUUAUACAGUAUUCUAAGAGGUAAAAAUUCUUCCAUAGGGUAAUUUUGGAAUAUCAACAAAUAGCCUUUAUAACACGCAAAACUUUCCAUGCAGCAUCCUCAGCAUUAAGAAUAUAUUCUAAGUAAAUAAAUAAGCACAUCUGUGUACAAACAAUGAGUCAUCAGGAUUUUCAACCAAGUGCUAUUAGUAAAGGUGAAUAAAAGCCAUUACCCAAAAUGUCCAAAAAUAGAUGAUCGAUUCAAUAAAUUAGAGUAUAUGCUGUGCAUUUGUUGCUAUGGGAUAAUAAUUUUACUUAUUACAUAGUUAUUAAAUAAACAUUGAUAAUAUUUCUUUUCAUGGAGAUGUUUUCGUUAAAAAGUUUUAGUGACCACACCAGUCCACAGAACAAUAGUUAUGCCUACAUUUUUGGAUUUCUUAAGUUAUCUGCUACUCUGAUAUAAUCACCAAUGAGUACCUAUAUUGUGUUUUUUAUUGCAUUUUGUGCCUAAAACUGAAGCGUAAUAUAAAGGCCAAAGAACACGGACAAAAAGGGAAUGGAAAACAUUUGAACAUGAGACAUGCUAGAGAAGAAAGAUUUAACAAUGAGCCAGGAGUACUCUGAAAAAGAAUUUUGUUUCCAAGUGAUUGUUAUGGAGCAAAACAAACAAAGGUACGAGUUGGAAAUAAAUUACAGGUAAAAAAAAAUAAGAAUAAACUUGCACAUAGUCUAAGAAAACGCGGCAGGAGUAGGCAAAGGACAGGAGAUGAAGACCAAGGAGAAUAGCACAUUGAUUAUUAAUCUAAUACUCCGGCUUUGGAAGUCAGUCCCAAGACAGAAAAAUUAAUCAGGAAAAAAAAGAUGGCAUCUGAGGCAGAACAGGAAAAAGACUUUCUGAGGGAGAAAAAAUAGAAUGUUUCAGGAGCCUUAGUGCAAGGGUUCACAAACUGUCACCAACCUGUUUUUGUACAAGGUAUGAGCUAAACAUUUUUAAAUGGUUUAAAAAAAAAAAAUCAAAAGAAUAAUGUUUCUUGACAUGUGAAAACUGUAUGUGAUGCAAAAAAAAUCCCAGUGUCUAUAAAUAAAGUUUUAUUGGAACAAUACCACAUGCUCAUUUGCUUUUGUGUUGCCAUGGCUGCUUUAGCACCCCAAGGUAGAGUUGAGCACUGCAGUUGCAACAAGUCUCUUAAAGCACUGGGGAAGAAAAUAAGAUGCCUCCUCCCUGGCCAUCGAUUGGCUGCAUUGGCAAGCUCGCGUGCGCCUCUGAGCCAAUCAGUGUGGCCAAGUGGGGAGGGACAAAGCCCCUUAGAACUUCCUGGGGCCGGAAGUGGGGGGAAGCCAUGUUAACCAAGGAGAAAAGAUGGUAAAGUGUAUCCGACCCGUGCGUGUGUCGACCUUUCCUUCCAACUUCCGCUCCAGCCACCUCCUCUGAGAAGCCCACAGACUGAUUUAUGACUAUCCAGGUGCCGGCAUCCUGAACACAGACUGUCUCUCCCCAGGACAGAAGGAAUGCAUACUUGAUGGCUGGAGCAACAGCAAUUAACUGUGACCAUGAAGCAAAAGCCACACGUUGAAGAUGGUGAACAUGUAGAAGAUCAAAAGAGCCUGGGCUCCUAAGACCACACGGUACUAUGCCAGUCCAGUAUUCCUAAAAUCCAGACUUCCAGGAGAUGAGAGAAAAAUGAACUUCAAUUGCUUUUAGCUAUUGCUAUUUUGGAUUUUGUGUGGCACUAAGCUGAACCAUAUCCUAAAAUUUACAAAGGCAAGGAAUCAGGUCUGUAUUUCAAGCCUUGGUUACUAAGAAAAUGUUGGCACUAUGAACAUAAAUCCAGCAAGAAAGAAUAUCAUAACUAGCAUGUGAUUUCAGAAGGAGAAAGUAAAUACUGUAUGGUAAUUUCUGAAGUCCUGGCAGAACUCUGAGUAUUCUAUCACUGUUUACAGAAAACUAAUAACCUGCUGAUAUCAUGACAGGCUACGUUGAAAAGACUCCUUUUGAAGCUGUCUUCCAGAAUGUCGGAAGUGAAUCACACCUCUCUCUUCAAUAAACGAGUUGCAUUAACUUCCCAAAAGACCAGAAAAUUAACACAGAAUGGAGAAACCUACUUCCCAGUGAAAGGACAUUUAAUUAGUAGAACUAUAAAAGUUACUUUCCUAGCUUUAGUUUUCAAUUUGGAACUUUUCUGAAUAGCUAUUACACCAUCGUUGACAAGAAUGUACAGAAAAAUCAAUAAGCUGAAAAGUUCAAGGUGGUAUAAUAUGACUAAACUUGGAAAUAUUGUGCAAUAUGGUAUUAUACUGAGCUAAUCCUACUAGAUUUUUUUCUUGUUGCUACAAUCCCUCUUAAUGCAUUGUAGUCCUCAGGUAAUGUGCUUUUGUUUUAAGGCAAAGCCAUUUCUGUGAAGCAGGGACUGAUCCCUUGGGGAAAUUUGAUCUCAAGUCUUUUUUUUUUUUUUUUUUUAAGCAAAGUGACUGUUAAAUUAUCGAGAUAACCCCUGAAAAGUCAGAACUCAUUCACAGUGAAUUCUUGGUGUGUAAAAUCAAGAAUUAGUGAAUUCAUGAAAUAAUAAAUGCAGCAGGGUUCUUUCCAGAUCAGUAAAUAGAGCAUAGGUUAAGCCAUGAUAGGAGUUGGAUCAUUCUGGAGCACAACAAUAUAUAUGUUUCCUAUGUCUUUGAAAAGACAGAUCGACUCUUUAUUUUUUAGGGGGAGGGAAGAGGGGUUCUUUGUAUUCUUUGAAUUUUUCCUUCAAAAAGCUUGAUUCUGGCAAAGAGAACCAAAGGAGUCAAUGUGCAGAAUGCAAAAUAUGCAGGUAUUUUCACAUCAGAGUCAUUGCUGGGGGUGUCCAGAUGUAUGGGUCAAGUGCUUGAAGAUCAGGGAUAGUUUUCCCAGGACCUGCAAAGUAGACUGAAAAGACUGAAAAGGCAAGACAGCCAAGGGGUAGGAGCCCAAGGGUCUCAGGCAGAUUAUCAGAGAGAGACUCUGAGAUGCUCAUUUGAACCCAGGUGAUACAAGUCAAAGAAUUCUGCACCAGAAACCCUGGCAUCAAAAUUGAGGCUCCCUUUGGUUGGGAAACAAUGAAGGACCCUGGUGGAAAAUGAAUCCUGAGAUUGGGACUAAAUAUGGAAACUUGAUGAAUAUAAUGAGCCC